GUUUGAUCCUGGCUCAGGAUGAACGCUAGCUACAGGCUUAACACAUGCAAGUCGAGGGGAAACGAUAGAGAAAGCUUGCUUUUUCUAGGCGUCGACCGGCGCACGGGUGAGUAACGCGUAUCCAACCUGCCCACCACUUGGGAAUAACCUUGCGAAAGUAAGACUAAUACCCAAUGAUAUCUCUAGAAGACAUCUGAAGGAGAUUAAAGAUUUAUCGGUGAUGGAUGGGGAUGCGUCUGAUUAGCUUGUUGGCGGGGUAACGGCCCACCAAGGCUACGAUCAGUAGGGGUUCUGAGAGGAAGGUCCCCCACAUUGGAACUGAGACACGGUCCAAACUCCUACGGGAGGCAGCAGUGAGGAAUAUUGGUCAAUGGGCGAGAGCCUGAACCAGCCAAGUAGCGUGCAGGAUGACGGCCCUAUGGGUUGUAAACUGCUUUUAUAAGGGAAUAAAGUGAGCCUCGUGAGGCUUUUUGCAUGUACCUUAUGAAUAAGGACCGGCUAAUUCCGUGCCAGCAGCCGCGGUAAUACGGAAGGUCCGGGCGUUAUCCGGAUUUAUUGGGUUUAAAGGGAGCGUAGGCCGGAGAUUAAGCGUGUUGUGAAAUGUAGACGCUCAACGUCUGCACUGCAGCGCGAACUGGUUUCCUUGAGUACGCACAAAGUGGGCGGAAUUCGUGGUGUAGCGGUGAAAUGCUUAGAUAUCACGAAGAACUCCGAUUGCGAAGGCAGCUCACUGGAGCGCAACUGACGCUGAAGCUCGAAAGUGCGGGUAUCGAACAGGAUUAGAUACCCUGGUAGUCCGCACGGUAAACGAUGGAUGCCCGCUGUUGGUCUGAAUAGGUCAGCGGCCAAGCGAAAGCAUUAAGCAUCCCACCUGGGGAGUACGCCGGCAACGGUGAAACUCAAAGGAAUUGACGG
This 915-nucleotide ribosomal RNA is filed under the name uncultured bacterium. RNAcentral's name for it is "bacterial SSU rRNA". It matches the Rfam family "Bacterial small subunit ribosomal RNA", at positions 11 to 916 of the family's 1533-position model. The record is from RNAcentral.